Molecule: non-coding RNA, 86 nt
Organism: Armillaria mellea
Lineage: Eukaryota; Fungi; Basidiomycota; Agaricomycetes; Agaricales; Physalacriaceae
Source: the annotation of a GenBank genome assembly
GGCCUGAUGGUCUAGUAGUAUGAUUCUUUGUCGGGGUGGAUUUCUAGCUAUCGAGGAGGUCCUGGGUUCAAUUCCCAGUCGGGCCC